UACGUAGGGGGCAAGCGUUGUCCGGAUUUAUUGGGCGUAAAGAGCUCGUAGGCGGUCUGUUGCGUCGGCUGUGAAAACCCGGGGCUCAACUCCGGGCCUGCAGCCGAUACGGGCAGACUAGAGUUCGGCAGGGGAGACUGGAAUUCCUGGUGUAGCGGUGAAAUGCGCAGAUAUCAGGAGGAACACCGGUGGCGAAGGCGGGUCUCUGGGCCGAUACUGACGCUGAGGAGCGAAAGCGUGGGGAGCGAACAGG
Molecule: ribosomal RNA, 253 nt
Filed under: uncultured bacterium
Lineage: Bacteria
Description: partial 16S ribosomal RNA
Rfam family: Bacterial small subunit ribosomal RNA
Source: RNAcentral